GCAGAAUUCCGCGAAUCAUCGAGUCUUUGAACGCAAGUUGCGCCCGANGCUUGUCCAAGGGCAUUUCCGCUAGAGCGUCACC
Molecule: ribosomal RNA, 82 nt
Filed under: Floribundaria floribunda
Lineage: Eukaryota; Viridiplantae; Streptophyta; Bryopsida; Hypnales; Meteoriaceae
Description: partial 5.8S ribosomal RNA
Rfam family: 5.8S ribosomal RNA
About the family: 5.8S ribosomal RNA (5.8S rRNA) is a component of the large subunit of the eukaryotic ribosome. It is transcribed by RNA polymerase I as part of the 45S precursor that also contains 18S and 28S rRNA.
Source: RNAcentral